GAUACAUGGUUGCCAGAACAAGUUUUUUUCAUNNNNNNNNCUAUGGAAUCUAUUUAUUAAUUACUUUCUUUGUGAAAUGUACUAUUGAGCAAUUUAUUAGACACACUGAGCAACUCUUUCUUUCUCUCCUAUAGGACAUUACGUAAUUUCGAUUUGAUCGAUUAGCUCUUUCUUUACUCAUGGAAGAUAUCGGUGCUGUCAAAUAGCGGCUAUAGCACUAUAGCAUAGCAUAAUGUUAACAACUAUUGCUCCACGAUACGCGAUUCAGUACAAAGUUUUUUAAGUAACUGCUUUAGCUGCACCAUAAGCCUAUAACUCUAGCAUAGUGAAAUUUUAACUAACA
This 343-nucleotide long non-coding RNA is filed under the name Trifolium pratense (red clover). RNAcentral's name for it is "long non-coding RNA (TPRA_LNC005245)". Lineage: Eukaryota; Viridiplantae; Streptophyta; Magnoliopsida; Fabales; Fabaceae. The record is from RNAcentral.